RNAcentral lists this ribosomal RNA (467 nucleotides) under uncultured bacterium. RNAcentral's name for it is "partial 16S ribosomal RNA". It matches the Rfam family "Bacterial small subunit ribosomal RNA", at positions 28 to 506 of the family's 1533-position model. The record is from RNAcentral.
GACGAACGCUGGCGGCGUGCUUAACACAUGCAAGUCGAACGGAAAGGCCCUGCUUUUGUGGGGUGCUCGAGUGGCGAACGGGUGAGUAACACGUGAGUAACCUGCCCUUGACUUUGGGAUAACUUCAGGAAACUGGGGCUAAUACCGGAUAGGAGCUCCUGCUGCAUGGUGGGGGUUGGAAAGUUUCGGCGGUUGGGGAUGGACUCGCGGCUUACCAGCUUGUUGGUGGGGUAGUGGCUUACCAAGGCUUUGACGGGUAGCCGGCCUGAGAGGGUGACCGGCAACAUGGGGACUGGGAUCCGGCCCAGACUCCAACGGGAGGAAGCAGUGGGGAAUAUGGCACAAGGGGGGGAAGCCUGAUGCAGCAACCCCGCGGGGGGGAGGACGGCCUUCGGGUUGUAAACCGUUUUCGCCUGUGACGAAGCGUGAGUGACGGUAAUGGUUAAAGAAGCACCGGCAAACUACGU